AUGGAGUUUGGGCUGAGCUGGGUUUUCCUUGUUGCUAUUUUAAAAGGUGUCCAGUGUGAGGUGCAGCUGGUGGAGUCUGGGGGAGGAUUGGUCCAGCCUGGGGGGUCCCUGAGACUCUCCUGUGCAGCCUCUGGAUUCAAAUUUGAUGCUUAUGUCAUGAACUGGGUCCGCCAAGGUGUAGGGAAAGGUCUAGAGUGGGUCUCUAAUAUCAAUUGGAAUGGUGGUGGCACAGCCUACGCAGACUCCGUGAAGGGCCGAUUCACCAUCUACAGAGACAACGCCAAGAAUUCCCUGUAUCUUCAAAUGAGCAGUCUGAGAGCCGAGGACACGGCCAUCUAUUACUGUACAAGAGUGGGAUCUACGAUAUUAUCAAAUUGGUACUUCGAUCUCUGGGGCCCUGGCACCCUGGGUGACUAUUUUGACUACUGGGGCCAGGGAACCCUGGUCACCGUCUCCUCAGCCUCCACCAAGGGCCCAUCGGUCUUCCCCCUGGAGCCCUGCUCCACGAGCACCUCCGAGGGCACAGCGGCCCUGGGCUGCCUGGUCAAGGAUUACUUCCCCGAACCGGUGACCGUGUCGUGGAACUCAGGCGCCCUGACCAGCGGCGUGCACACCUUCCCGGCUGUCCUACAGUCCUCAGGGCUCUACUCCCUCAGCAGCGUGGUGACCGUGCCCUCCAGCAGCUUGGGCACCCAGACCUACAUCUGCAACGUAGAUCACAAGCCCAGCAACACCAAAGUGGACAAGAGAGUUGAGUCCAAAUAUGGUCCCCCGUGCCCAUCAUGUCCAGCACCUGAAUUCCCGGGGGGACCGUCAGUCUUCCUCUUCCCCCCAAAACCCAAGGACACCCUCAUGAUCUCCCGGACCCCUGAGGUCACGUGCGUGGUGGUGGACGUGAGCCAGGAGGACCCCGAGGUCCAGUUCAACUGGUACGUGGAUGGUGUGGAGGUGCACAAUGCCAAGACAAAGCCGCGGGAGGAGCAGUUCAACAGCACGUUCCGUGUGGUCAGCGUCCUCACCGUCGGGCACCAGGACUGGCUGAACGGCAAGGAGUACAAGUGCAAGGUCUCCAACAAAGGCCUCCCAGCCUCCAUCGAGAGAACCAUCUCCAAACCCAAAGGGCAGCCCCGAGAGCCGCACGUGUACACCCUGUCCCCGUCCCAAGAGGAGAUGACCAAGAACCAGGUCAGCCUGACCUGCCUGGUCAAAGGCUUCUACCCCAGCGACAUCGCCGUGGAGUGGGAGAGCAGCGGGCAGCCGGAGAACAACUACAAGACCACGCCUCCCAUGGUGGACUCCGACGGCUCCUUCUUCCUCUACAGCAAGCUCACCGUGGACAAGAGCAGGUGGCAGCAGGGGAACGUCUUCUCAUGCUCCGUGAUGCAUGAGGCUCUGCACAAUCACUACACGCAGAAGAGCCUCUCCAUGUCUCCGGAGCUGCAACUGGAGGAGAGCUGUGCAGAGGCGCAGGAGGGGGAGCUGGACGGGCUGUGGACGACCAUCACCAUCUUCAUCACACUCUUCCUGCUAAGCGUGUGCUACAGUGCCACUGUCACCUUCUUCAAGGUGAAGUGGAUCUUCUCCUCGAUGGUGGACCUGAAGCAGACCAUCGUCCCCGAUUACAGGAACAUGAUCAGGCAGGGGGCCUAG
This is a non-coding RNA of Nomascus leucogenys (northern white-cheeked gibbon), 1650 nucleotides long. Lineage: Eukaryota; Metazoa; Chordata; Mammalia; Primates; Hylobatidae. The record is from the annotation of a RefSeq genome assembly.